RNAcentral lists this long non-coding RNA (1209 nucleotides) under Solanum pimpinellifolium. RNAcentral describes it as "long non-coding RNA (SPIM_LNC000008)". Lineage: Eukaryota; Viridiplantae; Streptophyta; Magnoliopsida; Solanales; Solanaceae. The record is from RNAcentral.
GACUCAGGGGCAUCAGUUUUCAAGAGGUACAAACUUUCAGUGUUUUGCCACUACUGGUGAUGGAUCCAUUGUAGUUGGAUCACUUGAUGGGAAGAUUCGCUUGUACUCGAAGACCUCUAUGAGGCAAGCAAAGACUGCAUUCCCUGGACUUGGCUCUCCAAUUACACAUGUUGAUGUUACUUAUGAUGGCAAAUGGAUAUUGGGCACGACAGAUACAUAUUUGAUCUUGAUAUGCACUGUGUUUACUGGUAAGGAUGGGAAGACCAAAACUGGUUUUACUGGUCGAAUGGGAAACAAAAUCCCAGCUCCAAGAUUAUUAAAGCUGACUCCUGUUGAUGCGCAUAUGGCUGGGGCAAAUAACAAGUUCCAUGGUGGACAUUUCUCUUGGGUAAGAAUGCUAAUUUAUUUAGCUGCUUUNGGUAGUGGAAAGAGUCCCAUAACGCCAGUGAGGGAUAGCCAAGAUUUGCUGGAGGAAUUUGAGGAAGCUGCUACUGGUGGAGGAAUACAGAGUUUGGCAUUAGGGGCUUUAGAUAAUAGUUUUCUUGUGAAUGAUUCAGGAGUUCAAGUUGUGAAAAAUUUUAGCCACGGAAUCCAUGGGAAAGGUGUUUAUGUGAAAUUUGAUGAAAAGGAUAAGUGGGCUGGUGGAGGCUCAACACCUAAAAAGGCUCUUUUGAUGCGUGGAGAAACUAAUAUGAUGCUAAUGAGUCCUUUUAAGGACGGCAAACCCCGUUCAACUGGACUUCAUCAAUUGGAUAUUGAGACUGGUAAAAUUGUGACUGAAUGGAAGUUCGAGAAGGAUGGGACUGAUAUUACUAUGAAGGAUAUAACAAAUGAUACCAAAGGGUCACAGUUGGAUCCUUCAGAAUCAACAUUUUUGGGCUUGGAUGAUAACCGGCUGUGUCAGUGGGACAUGCGUGAUAAGAAGGGAAUUGUUCAGACAUUAGCAAAUACGAAUUCUCCAGUGUUGAAUUGGACUCAGGGGCAUCAGUUUUCAAGAGGUACAAACUUUCAGUGUUUUGCCACUACUGGUGAUGGAUCCAUUGUAGUUGGAUCACUUGAUGGGAAGAUUCGCUUGUACUCGAAGACCUCUAUGAGGCAAGCAAAGACUGCAUUCCCUGGACUUGGCUCUCCAAUUACACAUGUUGAUGUUACUUAUGAUGGCAAAUGGAUAUUGGGCACGACAGAUACAUAUUUGAUCUUGAUAUGCAC